Molecule: ribosomal RNA, 253 nt
Filed under: uncultured bacterium
Lineage: Bacteria
Description: partial 16S ribosomal RNA
Rfam family: Bacterial small subunit ribosomal RNA
Source: RNAcentral
UACGAAGGGUGCAAGCGUUACUCGGAAUUACUGGGCGUAAAGGGUGCGUAGGUGGUUGUUUAAGUCUGUUGUGAAAGCCCCAGGCUCAACCUGGGAAUGGCAAUGGAUACUGGACAGCUAGAGUGCGGUAGAGGGUAGUGGAAUUCCCGGUGUAGCAGUGAAAUGCGUAGAGAUCGGGAGGAACACCAGUGGCGAAGGCGGCUACCUGGACCAGCACUGACACUGAAGCACGAAAGCGUGGGGAGCAAACAGG